UUACCUUAAUACCUUAAUAAUUAACCUAUAUAAACUAAACAUCUAAAUAUUUUAGGUGCGCCCUACAAUCUUUAACCCUAAAACCUUAAAGGAAAUACACAUUAUUUUUAAAGUCAUUAUUCAAAUUUGUACCUUUUGCAUCAUGGUUUAACAAGUUAAAAAGAAACAACUUCUAUCUCGAAACCAUAACGAGCUAUUUUUUUUCUGCUUUGAGCCCAUAGCCCUAUGUUGCACAAUAGCCUAAAGAAAGAACAAUAGAGGCUACAUACCCCCGCGCAUGGUGAUAGCUAGUUCUCACCUUCACUUAUCUAAGUAAAAAAGCUUUAAAUUUACCAUAACCUAAAAUAAACCUUUUCAAUUUACUGGGGACAAGCCCAUUAAAUAUCAUUUAUAAAUUAAAAAAGUCAAACCCUUAAAUAUAGUCUUAAAAUCCGUUAUUAUUAAUUAAAACGUUACAGUUACUACCACCUCGCCACUUAAAUUCAUACUAUUUAUAUCUUAUACAGGUGAGGAGGAUAACCAACUACUUUUAUUCAUCAUAAUGUUAAAAUAAGUAUUUAUUAACAACUUUAACCCUACAAUAAUUAUAAUAAAUAUAACAAAGGAACUCGGCAAAAAAUAAUUCGACUGUUUAACAAAAACAUUGCCUUUAGAAACAAAAUUAAAGGUACAUCCUGCCCAGUGACUUGUUCAACGGCCGCGGUAUCCUGACCGUGCAAAGGUAGCAUAAUCAUUUGCCUUUUAAUUGGAGGCUGGAAUGAACGGACAAACGAAAUUAUUGCUGUCUCUUUUAUACACAUAAAAAUUAGCCCCUAGGUGAAGAGACCUAGAUAAAAAUAAAAGACAAGAAGACCCUAUUGAGUUUUACUUUUUAUUUUUCAUUAAAAAUUAAAAGGUUUGGUUGGGGCGACCAAGGAAAACAUAAAUCUUCCUUUUUUACUAAGAUUAUAAAUCUCUCCAUUGACCCAUUACCAUGAGCAUAAAAAUAAACUACCAUAGGGAUAACAGGCUAAUCUUCCUAGAGAGCCCAUAUUGACAGGAAGGAUUGGCACCUCGAUGUUGGCUUAAGGAAACUCACUAACGCAGAAGUUAGUUUAAGUUAGUUUGUUCAACUAAUAACCCUUACAUGAGCUGAGUUCAGACCGGCGUAAGCCAGGUUAGUUUCUAUCUUUAUUUUUCUAUAAUAUUUCAUAUUAGUACGAAAGGACCUUAUGAUAUAAGAACUAUCUUCCAUAUAACAACCCAUCUACAAUAU
This 1255-nucleotide ribosomal RNA is filed under the name Aphrodita australis. Its description in RNAcentral is "16S ribosomal RNA". The stretch from base 536 to 1255 matches the Rfam family "Eukaryotic large subunit ribosomal RNA", at positions 1890 to 3114 of the family's 3401-position model. Lineage: Eukaryota; Metazoa; Annelida; Polychaeta; Phyllodocida; Aphroditidae. The record is from RNAcentral.